This 427-nucleotide ribosomal RNA is filed under the name Brevundimonas diminuta. RNAcentral describes it as "bacterial SSU rRNA". It matches the Rfam family "Bacterial small subunit ribosomal RNA", at positions 29 to 502 of the family's 1533-position model. Lineage: Bacteria; Pseudomonadati; Pseudomonadota; Alphaproteobacteria; Caulobacterales; Caulobacteraceae. The record is from RNAcentral.
AGCGAACGCUGGCGGCAGGCCUAACACAUGCAAGUCGAACGGACCCUUCGGGGUUAGUGCGGACGGGUGAGUAACACGUGGGAACGUGCCUUUAGGUUCGGAAUAGCUCCUGGAAACGGGUGGUAAUGCCGAAUGUGCCCUUCGGGGGAAAGAUUUAUCGCCUUUAGAGCGGCCCGCGUCUGAUUAGCUAGUUGGUGAGGUAACGGCUCACCAAGGCGACGAUCAGUAGCUGGUCUGAGAGGAUGACCAGCCACACUGGGACUGAGACUACGGCCCAGACUCCUACGGGAGGCAGCAGUGGGGAAUCUUGCGCAAUGGGCGAAAGCCUGACGCAGCCAUGCCGCGUGAAUGAUGAAGGUCUUAGGAUUGUAAAAUUCUUUCACCGGGGACGAUAAUGACGGUACCGGAGAAGAAGCCCCGGCUACUC